Molecule: long non-coding RNA, 418 nt
Filed under: Sorghum bicolor (sorghum)
Lineage: Eukaryota; Viridiplantae; Streptophyta; Magnoliopsida; Poales; Poaceae
Description: long non-coding RNA (SBIC_LNC008450)
Source: RNAcentral
CAACCACCCGAGAUGUUUUAGAACUAUUUGCAAGAAAAUCUAGAGGCAUACCAUAUCCCCACCAAUUGGGAGGAACUUGACAAUUCUGAAACACAGACUCUGACAUUGCCGAUGCCGAUAGAUCUGUAUUGAGUUGAAUCCGUCCAACUAAUGCUGCUGGAUUGGUCCUCAUCGGUGUAGAUUGCCCAUUAGUUAUCCCUAAUGUGCUUGGGGGAGAAGUAACUUUUGUACCCGCAAUGGCCGGAGGCGCCGAUGGAGCUGUAACCGAUGACAACCCAGGCUGGUGAUAGGCUGGGCCAACAUAUAAAGGUGGUGCCUGCGCUUCCUUGAAAGUUCUAGACACAAAGUUGAAGACAGUAUUGGACAGCACACCGGAUUGAUUGAUUAAAGCACGAUUAAUAGUGUCAUAGAACCGACC